Pseudoliparis swirei is the source of this 1275-nucleotide long non-coding RNA. RefSeq lists it as uncharacterized. The record is from RefSeq and is a predicted model, not a curated record. Lineage: Eukaryota; Metazoa; Chordata; Actinopteri; Perciformes; Liparidae. The transcript has 3 exons.
CUUAUCAUUGUUGUGAUUUGUGUUGUGACUGUGAGACUCCCGCAGUCAUGGCGGACAGAGCGAAGCGAUCAAAGGUCUGGGUGCACUUUCAAAAAUUGAGUGGCGAUAGUGCAAAGUGCAAUCUUUGUACUCAAGUCGUUGCUUGUAAAGGGGGUAACACAAGCAACUUGAUGAAGCAUUUGCAAACGAGACACUCGUUGAAUCUCAAACGGUGCAGCAUAUUUGACAGCCUAGUAAACACUGUGGCUGCUAGUAAUGCUAGUGCUAAUAGUGCUAGCAUUAGCACAACAACAACGUCUUCCUCCUCAGUGCAACCUGGUGCGAGUUGCGGGACGGCUGCCUCGACUUCGACACGUGAAGGGAGAUGACCACAGCCCUUAACCCUAAUUACCACCCCCCUUCCAGAGACACUCUGUCCAACACACUCAUACCUGCUUGGUAUAACAUCGAAAAAGAGAACCUGAGGGCAGAGCUUGCCAGUGUGGAAAAAGUUGCCAUUACAAGUGAUGGGUGGACCAGUAUUACACAGGACCACUACAUAACGGUCACGCUCCACUACAUUAACCAAGGCCAGUUGAAGCAGAAAGUCCUUAAGACACAGGCAGUAUAUGAGUCUCAGAGUGGGCCUGUUGUUGCUGAACAAAUAGAUGAAGUCCUGGCUGAAUUUGGGGUGAGACAGAAGGUCGUCGCCGUAACUGUCGACAACGCUCCAAAUAUGGAUGUGGCUGUACGACAGCUACAAACAAAAAAGCUUGGAUGCUUUGCGCAUUCUCUAAACCUAGGGGCACAAAAGGUUUACAAUGUGCAAGCUAUCUCCAAGUGGUCAGCAAGGAUCCGGGAUGUGAUCGUUUGGAUCAAAAGAUCCUCAAUGAUUAAGACCAUUUUCAAAGAGAAGCAGCGUCUCCUGGGUAAGAAACUUUGCCUCAUUGUUUCAGUGUAAUUCAGACAGGACAGGAGGAAUAAAUACAUUUUAAUUGGUCAUCAUUUAUAUAUUUCAGGCCUACCUGACCAUUCUGUGGUCCUUGAUGUCAAAACCCGCUGGAAUUCUCUUUAUCUCAUGGUGGAGAGAUUUGUGGAGCAAUAUCCUGCAAUACAGGCAGCAUUCUUGGACCCGCGUGCCAAAAAGCUCAUGAAGAGAGACAGACUUGAAGAGAUCACAGAUGAAGACUUCAGGAGGGCUGAGGACUUUGUCAGUCUGAUGCGCAUGCUGUAUACAAGUACCCUGUGUGUGUCAAGCGACAAGUCUUCUACAUGUGGCCAGAUAAUUCCCAUUCU